CGAGCAUUCUGUAAAUUGUCUUUUCAGUAUGACGUCGUGCAGCUUAGCAACGUCCAAACAAAAAAAAUAUAAAUUGUCAGAGACGGAAAUCACACUGCAGUAAACACUUUUCUGCCGACCGCAAACAACUUUGCAAAUUCUUCAAUUCAGAUCUUUUCUCAUGUUUCGUUCCUGGUGCAUGAGAAAGUCUCGGUGGAGAAGUUUGAGCUCCAAAUAGCAAGCAGCAAGCGCAGUACGGUAUUUUUUAAUUUUUUUUUUUUUGAUAUUAAUUUCUCUAAAGCCCUCUUUCCGUGGCGACAGAUAUUGACCCUCCGAUGCUAAAGAUCACUUCUUCCACCUGAUCGUUGCUAAUUGGGAAAAGAAUAGAUCCUCGGAUCAGAUCUGAACGUUUUUCAAAGGUUCUUAUUCAAGCGUAAAUUCAUCGACCACUACAGUGGCAUUCGCGGACUUAGAAGUGAAAUAAAAGAUAUCGUCCAAAGGUGGUGCAUUCUUGACCUUUUGAAGGACAAAUUUAUAUUGCAAACAAGCCUCCAUCAAUCACAUGACUGGGGAGUGCCAACAGCCCAACAUACAGCUACACUAGUCGUUGUCUAUUUCAAGAAUGACCAAUAAAACUGUUUCUUGCCCUUAUUUUCUAUACUGUAAUGGUAACAAUUUAUAUCAAUCAGUUGUCUGUACCUGUCGGUAUGUUUCAAAGCAUGAAUAAUUAGCAAUUUAAAUUUUUAAAUGGUUGCAACCACUCACCGAAUGGAUGUUUAUGAUUGUUAUUGUUCGACUGGACAAUUUUAUCGUUGCAACAAAUAUGGGAUAUUUAAAUAUUAAAAUAGUCUUUUUUUUUUACUGGGCCUAGGUGAAGUUUUCCGACAGCUUCACUUUUACGAAUUACUACUAACACUCUUUAUCCGGUGAUGCUACAAUAUUGGUAUCACGCUAAUGCCCGGUCAUUGGUGCACCUUUAAUGGUAAUCUUUACGGCUUAAUAUGUUAUGUUAAUAGGCAGCAAUACAGGCAUUAAAUUGACAAGUUAAGGUG
Molecule: long non-coding RNA, 1031 nt
Organism: Orbicella faveolata
Lineage: Eukaryota; Metazoa; Cnidaria; Anthozoa; Scleractinia; Merulinidae
Source: RefSeq, a predicted model, not a curated record